ACGAGGUUAGUUUGUUCCGUGCCCUGAAGCAUGAUGGAAGCCUCCAAGACUCAGACCUCCUGCUACUCCUCACCACACAGUCCAGUCCUCUCUACGUGAGAAGAAAGGCCAUUGGAGCGUCAGGAAGACCCCCAAGACUGAACUCCUACUUUCAUUCUAAAACACUAAGAAUCUCACUAUGAGAUUCUACACAUAUGGAACUUGGUUUACCACUUGGAUCGUACUUUCAUCACUUUGUAAUCAUAUACUUUUUUUUUUCCAAUCAACAUAUACAUAAUCUCAACAAUAUACAUUACUCACAAAUCACAAGUUAUGAAAGUAACUGCUCCAUAAUUGAAUUUCAGUAGUAGAUAUUAACUCGUCAAACACAAGGUUUUACUUCAACAAAUAAAAUAUUACCACAACACAUAAAAAUUAUGCAACUUUUAUAAUUUAUUUUACAUACAUAAUAAUUCCUCAUUUGUUUCAUCUCUUAAUUUAUAUGUUUAUUUACUAACAAAACAUAAAACUACUAUUAUAAUGAUAAUAGUAUAUAAUUUAAAUUUAUGCCAGUCAAUAAAUUAAUUAGAGGUUAAACUUACAGAAUUCUAAUAUUAAUAUAUUAUAAUAUAAUAUUAACAAAACUAAGUUAACAUUUCUAUACUGUUAUAUAUCUAAUAUAUAUACUAAUCUGUAUAAGUUGAUAAUUAUUAUAUAAUAUAAAAGGUUCACCACAAAAAUUAUAGAAUAAGCAUAUUAUGUAAUAUAUAAUAUUAUGAAAUAUAUAAUAUAACGUAAUAUACUAUUUAAUCUUAGCAUUGCUAUUUCCAAAACUAAGUUACAGUAUUCCUAUCCUUUAAAAGGUUUUCCCAAACUUUUAAAAAAGAACAAGUAUGAUUCAUUUCUUUAAUAAAAGCAUCACAUAAACUAAGAAUUGUUUAUACAAGGUCUCUGCAUCACGUGAUCAACCAAUUUAAACAUAAAUUAUACAUCAUAGAAUAUAAAAUACAAAAUAUAUUUAACAUUAUACAAUCUAAUAUUUUUUUUCAGAAUAUAUAACUUAAAUUAUAACUUUUGUAUUUUAAAUUGUCUAUUUCAAAAUAAAAUAAAUAUAUUUUAAAUUGUAUAUUUUAAAAUCUAAGAUAAAAAUACAUUAUAAAAAAAUGCUUAAAUUUACUUAUAAAUUACAGAAUCCUUAUGGAAUCAUAAUAUUUAUGAAGAUUAUGGAAGUGCAAGAAAAUAUAUUCAUAAGACAUACUAAGAAAUUUUUACAUGGCACUGUAAAGAUAUAAAAAUAUAAAUCACAUCUCCUCUGCCAAUUCACAACACUUCUUCCUUUUUAUAUUUCUCAAACAAUCUUACAGUACCCAUACUUAUAUAAUAAAUAUGCAGAAAACUCCAUUCCUCUUAUCUUCACUAAACCCAUCUAUAUUUCAACAAUCAAUCCCAUCAUAACAACUUACAACCAAUACAUUUUUACAUGCACAAUUUUCAGAAUCAUAACACAAGUCAAUUUAUACUCAACAGGUACAUAACAGUUUAAAUCAACACAUAAUUCAGGAUUCAACAUGCAUAUAUCUCAUAAAUUAAUUUCAAACAAAAAUAACUAGCUUCCCUUACCUUGGGUUUUCACGGUAAGCUAAUUUGAAGACUUCCUAAUAGAAAUUCUCACCCGAACAGAAAAACAACAGUACCUAUAAACCACCAUAUCGGCGGUAGAGAAUAACUCUUGGAGUGAGAACUUAACAGAAAUUAGAAAAAGGAGGGUUCUAACUGCAUAAAAUCAGUAGAACCCCAAGCUCUAAGUUUCGAAAAUAGUGGAGAAAAGGAGAAAAUAUACUUACCGGUCGGAAUGGAAGAACGCCCGGUUCAAAUUGAAGCCCUCGGUGCAGUGAGCAAGGAAACACUUUCAAAUUAAAAUUUGAUCGGUUCAAUGAAUAGAAAUUUAGAGAGAAGACAGAGCAAUAUUUGGGAAAAAGGGUUUGAGAGAGAGUGGAAA
Molecule: long non-coding RNA, 1978 nt
Filed under: Vigna radiata
Lineage: Eukaryota; Viridiplantae; Streptophyta; Magnoliopsida; Fabales; Fabaceae
Description: long non-coding RNA (VRAD_LNC012207)
Source: RNAcentral